This 346-nucleotide long non-coding RNA is filed under the name Olea europaea (common olive). RNAcentral's name for it is "long non-coding RNA (OEUR_LNC013029)". The record is from RNAcentral. Lineage: Eukaryota; Viridiplantae; Streptophyta; Magnoliopsida; Lamiales; Oleaceae.
AAGAGAAGAAAAUUACAAAAUGUUUAUGAACUCAAGCCUCUAUAAUGUUCUCUCUACAGCCCAUUAACCCCUUCAACAUUAUCACGAGGUCGAACUGCAGUCAAGAGGAAAAAUGAACAAUAAAAUUGGGCUCGAAACAUCCGACAUAUAUGACAUCACAAAUUUGAUUCUAAAACUGCUACAUGAGAAUUGGAAAAUAAGGUUAGAAAUGAUUUUAAGCAUCAAGGUAGAAUGAUCAAUGGUCAACUCAGUAACUAAUGUUGUGGGAGAUAUUAUUUGAUAGCAACACCUGUUGAACUACAGUCCACCUACUGUCAAAACCAUGUACGUGCCAUCGUGUUUACUA